UGGCGUUAUUGAAUUGAUAAAAACAUUUGUUUUGGUUCUUGUGAGGUUGUUAAUAUUGGUUUGUCCUCUGAUAUAUGUUGACUUGGCAUCCCAGAACAUAUUGGGAGAAUAACGAUUUAAAUUUCUUAAUAGUUAAAGAAAAUACAUUACAUUUUGGUGAAAUUUACUUUAAUUUAACCACAGAAUCAGACUUCAAUUUGGUCAGUGCUGCUGAAAUUAUAACAUUUUGAAUAUUUGUUAGUUUGCUAUCAUUCUACUUGUUUCUUAAGAGUUCGUCUGUCAAGCUGCAUCCAGAAUUCAAAUCGCUUUGGUCAAACAUCAAACUAUUGUUUCUACAACAUCGCAGAAAUUCUUCUGUGGGAAAAAAUAAUCAUUGUUCCUUCUUUUUCACAGGAGUUGGAGAAAGAAAUUUCUCAAAGUCCUGACUGUACUCAUUCAACUUCUACAACUGACAACACAGAACAGGUGAGAGCUGAAAAUGACCCGGAUCAGAUGACAACCAGUGUCCCAAACGAGACAGAUUCAGUCCUGGAUUCACUUCCCAACAAUUCAGAGUGUCAAAAACAUCACCUGAUGUGCACAUUAUCUUCUUUGGAGAAGUGUAUUCAGUGUUUUGGUCCUUGUUCUUCAUUCAAGUGGGUUGGCUACCAGUGUAAAGGCAAGAUAUUUAGUUAAUUUGUAUU
Molecule: non-coding RNA, 683 nt
Organism: Poecilia reticulata (guppy)
Lineage: Eukaryota; Metazoa; Chordata; Actinopteri; Cyprinodontiformes; Poeciliidae
Source: RefSeq, a predicted model, not a curated record